UUCGCAAUGCCCGAAAGGGUGACGAAGCGACGCCGCGUGGGUGAAGAAGGCCUUCGGGUUGUAAAGCCCUGUCAGGAGUUAUGAAAUGUAAGUGCGCUAAUAUCGUGCUUAUUUGACAAAGGCUCCAAAGGAAGCCACGGCUAACUCUGUGCCAGCAGCCGCGGUAAUACAGAGGUGGCGAGCGUUGUUCGGAAUUAUUGGGCGUGAAGAGCACGUAGGUGGGUUUGUAAGUCAGAUGUGAAAGCCUUCUGUUCAACGGAAGAAUUGCAUCUGAAACUGCGAAUCUUGAGUAUAGGAGGGGAGAAUGGAACUUCUGGUGGAGCGGUGAAAUGCGUAGAUAUCAGAAGGAACGCCGGCGGCGAAAGCGAUUCUCUGGCCUAUUACUGACACUCAGUGUGCGAAAGCUAGGGGAGCAAACGGGAUUAGAUACCCCGGUAGUCCUAGCCGUAAACGAUGGGCACUAAGUAGAGGGGUUUU
RNAcentral lists this ribosomal RNA (477 nucleotides) under uncultured Candidatus Scalindua sp. RNAcentral's name for it is "bacterial SSU rRNA". It matches the Rfam family "Bacterial small subunit ribosomal RNA", at positions 365 to 832 of the family's 1533-position model. Lineage: Bacteria; Pseudomonadati; Planctomycetota; Candidatus Brocadiia; Candidatus Brocadiales; Candidatus Scalinduaceae. The record is from RNAcentral.